RNAcentral lists this long non-coding RNA (15706 nucleotides) under Manihot esculenta (cassava). RNAcentral describes it as "long non-coding RNA (MESC_LNC006882)". The record is from RNAcentral. Lineage: Eukaryota; Viridiplantae; Streptophyta; Magnoliopsida; Malpighiales; Euphorbiaceae.
UUGGAAGUUAGCAAUCCACAAUAACAUAAGGAUGACAUUGUUAAUAGCAAUAAUAAGAAUCAAACCUUAUCAGUUUGCACUAUAGAAAAGGUUAUACAAUUUAUUUCAAGCAUAAAGGUUAUACCCAUUGUAAUAAACUAAUUUGCAGCUCAUGCAGAAUGUCCAAGAAUUAUCCAGGCAAUUGCCUAAAGCCAUUUCAAAGUACUUUGAUGAUUGAGAAGUAGAUAUGCUAGAUAAUUAAAGCAUUAAUCACCACCAGGAUGUCACUUAUUAGUUAACUUGUGUGUGGAGACAUAAAUAAAAAACAGUUACAAUAGUUGAAAGCUCUGAAUGUGGUUUCAAGCAUUUGUUGAUACAAAUACUCAAUUUUCAAAUAUCCUCUAGGUCCUCAGAGCAGUAAGAACACUACCUCUUCUCACUGAAUUUCCUCAACUUAGGAACUCUAUUCAGGCUAAACACACCCAUGACUGACUAUUGAGAAACAUAGGACAAAGAUAACAGCCAAAAAAAGAAGAAACUCUAUGCACCACUUAAGAUGAAAGCCUUGCCAUGAGAAACUGCAGAAUCAAUUUUGCAAGAAGGUAUAACCCUGGAAUAAUUAAAGAUUGUAUUUGUUUUAGGGAGAUUUAUAAAAAUGUCCUGGGUACUGUCAUUAUUAACAUUUAAUAGGUUAUUCCCUGUAUUUUGAAAAACUCACUAAAACCUUCCAAGGUUUUGAUGUUGUUAAAUACUUUAGUCAUUCCAUCAAUUUUCUAAGUGUGUUUCAACAUAUUCCGUUAUUCAAAUUUCAACUAAAUAGCUAUUUAGUCCCUAAAUUCAUCCAUUAUAAACACUUCUGUGCAUUUAGUUUGAAAAUUAUAUUAAAAAAUCCUUCUUCUACAAGGGAAUUUGAUCUUUUCCUUAAAAAUUAAUAGCCAAAUGGAUGAAGGGACAAAAGUAUUCAAGGGAAGCAAAGUUUAGAGAGGUUAAGGAUCAAUUUGUUAAUAAUGGUAUUACUUAUGGCAUUUUUGUAAUUCCCCCUUGAUUUUUAAAAAAUCUACAGCAGCUGUUUUUUUCUUGCAUACAAUUUGAGAUUUUACAUGAUAUAUUCUAACUUGAUGGACCAAGUACACUGCAGCAAUAAUUUCCAAGGAAGCAAUAAACUUUGGCCAUUCCCAAUUUCACCCUCAUUGGUCAUGGAUUUUGUCCACAAUCCCAGAUUCCAAGGUGAAAGAGAGUAGGAAGAGGGAAGAUAGGUUGAAAAUGAAGAGAAAAAACAGUUACUUAGAUGAAACAAUCAUAUGCAUGGACACAUACUUGGGUACAAGACUGAAGAAAAAAUUGAAGAGAGUAAGCACCCCCACCAACAAACACAUGAAGCAGGAUGGAGAACCCAGGCAAAUCUAAAUGUCAUAAUUAUAUACCCUAAAUAAAUAAGGGCUGCAGCAAAUAUUUUUUAAGCAAGACACAAAGCUAAUUAACAAAAUAUAUAGAAAACAACAUUAAGAGUCAACAUAUGAAACAUAAAGGUAGUAACAUGACAGAAUAUGUAUGUGGGUAUAAUUAAAUGCCCCCCUCUCUCUCUCUCUCCCUCUAUUCCUUCUCUAAACUAAUAACGUGCUCUCAAUUUGCAGUGCAAAUUAUCUCCCCCUCCCAUGUCUAGAACUUAAAACUUCUAAACUAGUCCAGUGCUCUCAACCUGUGCUCCCAAUUUGCAAUGCAAUAGAUCCCUCCCUCCACCCCUUUCUGACCAGAUCCAGGCAUUGCAAAUAUUCAUGGUUAUCAAAUAUAUUCAAAGUCUAGAAUUUUUAAUUCCAUAUUAAUUUGGAAAAGAAAAUUUUAGUAUCUUUAAUUUUAUUAGAAUUUUAUAUGAAUCAUUUUCUUGUAAUUUGAAACUCGGACUCUCAAACCUCUCCGCCAUCCGACAUUAUGACCAAACAAGUGCACAGGACAUCGUUUGCAAGUAAGUAUCCUAACACAUGUAGAGCCAGCUGUAAUUAAAAGACAAAUCUAAGCCAAUGAGGUUGCCAAUUAAGAUUCCCAUUCAAAAGUACCAUGUAUUCCAUAAACCUUCUUAUUUCAGCAUCAAUGUCAUCACUACCUCAUCUAAACAGGUUUUUUUUACAAGUGUUAUUAAUUCCCGUUAGAGGCUUGGUCAGAACAAAAUUGAUAUUAUGAAGAUACCAAGCAGAAUUGAAAGCAUUCAGAAGAAGGUAAAAUGAAUGGCAGAGUAAAAUAAUGCCAUUCUCAGUGGCAGCAAAAUAAAGAAUGCUAUUCUUCCCAAUCACUUGCCAACAAGGGGGAAAAGACACACCUGCAUCUGCACAAGAAGUUCUGUCUUGAUACGUCUUGAAGCUUCACUCUCAUUACCUUCUCCACGCUGGCCACACAAGGAAUCUAUCUCAUCAAUAAAAAUAAUCGAAGGAGCACUUUCACGUGCCAUUUGGAAAAGAUUGGAGACAAGCUUUUCACUUUCACCCAUCCACUUUGAAACUAGGUCUGACGAAGAAAUACUGUAGGGAAACAGAGAAUUAAAUUCCAGCAACUUGCAACCUAAUUAAAAACAUAGAUGAUCACAUGCUAGUUACACGCAUAAAAGCUCAUUUAGAGGAAAAAGGAAAUCUAGAUGCAGCAACAAAACAUUAAGUGCUGCCACAACAUGCCAAGAUUAAUCAAAUAAAAACUGACAACUUACACCUUCUCACAGCUAAAUUAAAAGACUCUCUUUGUGACUUAGACUAUUUACCUGAAAAAAGUAGAGUCUGCUUCAGUUGCAACUGCCUUGGCCAAGUAAGACUUCCCAGUUCCAGGUGGCCCAUACAAAAGAAAAGCUCUCCAAGGCCGUCUCUUCCCUAAAAGAAAGAGCAAAAGGAAAUAUAAGACAUUAACAGAGUAAAGCCAGUCGAGAUUUGUUACAAAAUGUUAAUACAGAAGUUACAAUGGAGUCAAUAACAGAAUAGAUGCAAAAUGACUGAAUUCUAUAUCUCCGAGUCCUAAGUAACCUGCUGAUGACAUAAAAGAAAAAUAAAAGCAGAGCAAUAACAAGAAAAAUAAAAGUAGAGCAAUAACAACAAUAAGAAACCUUCUUUGCAUCUUCGUUCUAACUGUUCUUCUACCAAGUAAGAACCUUAGAUGUCCAUAUUCCAAAAUCCUUGAUAUACCAAACACGACAGAGCACGCAUGCCACUGUCUCCAUUUACAAACUCACGAGUCAAGAUAAAACAGUGGGGCCAAGACAAUACCCAAACAUGAUCAUCGGAUAAACAUUUUGUAUCAACUAGUUUACUUUAAGGCAACCACUUUGAAGCAAAAUAAACUCGAUGGACCCAAGACAGCCAAUAGAAAGAUUAGCAAUUUGCUAUAGCGAUGAUAGAUUCAGAAACCAUGCAUCAAAAAUCAUUUUGCAGGCAGUUCGAUCCAGCAAACCAUUCCAAAAGCAUACGAUUUCACAACCAUCAACCAAAUAUAGAACACACAGAACGNNNNNNNNAAAUCGAGUAGAAAAUUCACCUGUAAAGAAUUGGGGGAACUUAACAGGCAAAAUAACAGCUUCCUGCAACGCCUGUUUCGCGCUCUCAAGUCCAGCCACAUCAUUCCACUUGACGUUAGGCUUUUCCCUAAUAAUUGCAGAAUUCAAUCCAGCUCUCAAUUUGGUCUGUUCAGGAUCCUCACCAUCUUCUCCAUCCUUAGGUUUGGUCUUGGGGCGGGUAGCAACAGCAGCAUCCCCAUUGGAAGCGGGCCCAGGGCCGCCUUCAUCGAGCACAGCCCGGAUCUCCUCAGCCCGACGAAGAUACUCGGUGAAUUUCUGGGUAAUCGCUUCCCGAAUCUUAGGGUUCUUCUCGUACUUCAAAUGGGUCUUGAAGUACUCAAGCGCGUUCAUAUACAAAGGGAAGGCCUUAGCAUAGUUACCAGCAUUAUCUUCUUGUACGGCUUGCCUGACAUACUCUAUCGCUUGCUCCUUGAAAUUGCUAUACAUCUUAUAGAGGUUCCCGAUCAAUCAACAGAAGAUAUCAUGUGAAAUUUUGGGACGAAAUGAGAAAACCUAUAGAUUGAUGAUAAUUUGGUGAUGAAUUUGAGAAAAAACAGGGGUUUGAAAGAAAAAGAUUGGAAAUUAAGGCUUAAGCAGCCAUGUCAAAGGAAACAAGCGUGUGAUGACUGAGGUGAGGGGAAGGUUCCAAUGGAAGUUGCUAAUAACUUAUUAUUAUAAUAUAAUAAUUAUUUUUCAUGAGUUAUUAUUAUUUGUGUACAAUAAUAAAAUGAAUUAUAUUUCAUUAAUUAAAAAUAAAUAAACGAAAAAUAUGAAGCAAUUGUAUAAUAGAAUAUCCCUAUUUAAACCAGGACAAAAUGCUUCAAAUACUAUGAGAUUUACCAUGAAUUCCAAUUCUCUAUAUUUUUCCUUCUGAUUAAUGAAUUAUGAUAAUUUUUUCUAUUAUCAUAAAUUGAAGAAUAAAAAUUUCAUUCAAUCUAAUUGAAUUUGUUAUCGAUUUUUAUAUUUGAAAUAAUUUAAUUGUUGUUUAUAAAGCAAAAUUUAUGUACAAUUAUAUACAAAUUUAAUUGAAUUUAUUUUUUCAAAAAUAUUUUUUUAAACAAGCCUUAAGAAACAUCAACAUAAAUGAAAAUGCGAUUUCAAUUCUAUUAUUUUAUGUUGAUUAAUGUUUUUUUUUUUAAAUAAAAGUCCUAAACAUUUCCGAAUUUUAAUACUUUUUUUCAAAAUAUUUCAUAACUUUAAUUUUUUUAAAAUUGUAUACUUAAAAAGUUUUAAUCCACCUCCUUCCACGGCUUCUGCAUUGCAGUACCUAUAAAAAAUAAUAAUAUAAAAACUAUAAUAAUACAAAUUAUAAUUUUUGAAAAAUAUAUUUUUUCGAAUCACUAACCUUGUCAAAAUUCUAAAAAAUAAACUUGAACAUUGAUGACCGCUGGAUUUCUCCACCUCAGUGAGGGACCAAGCCCUCAAUCACGGCCCAUCACUCGGAGGCCCACGCGAUCCCAAUACAAAUAGGUCCAGCCCGUUCGAACCUUGAUACAGGGUUCAUAUGGAUUUCUCAACCAGGCCGACCCAGUUCCCAUUGCCUCUCAGGCCGACCCAGCCCUUACUGCUUCUCAGGCUGAUCCUUCUUGGACUCAGUAUUAUUCCUAUCUCCCGGCUCAGCCUGGAAUCGGGAAGAAGGCCCCACCUUCAGCCUUGUGGACCCAUCCACACACGCACGAAGGGAAUCAGGGGCCGUUACGCAUGAGACAGGUACCGGAUAUCCUCGUACAAUCGUAUCAAUAUGGCAGAGACAGGUGGUCCAAUGAUAGCCACGCCGUUGCACGUCACUGGCAUAGGAGGAAAAGGGAUAAAAGGAGAAUGAUCCUCCCCUAAGCUCUAAGUUUUUCCAUUAUUCCAAAAACCUCUGUAAAACCCUAUUUCUCUGGAUCUCAGAUCAUCAAUUGGCGCCGUCUGUGGGAAACGAAGGAGAUCUUUUCAUCACCGGAGUUCCACUCUUAACAAAACCCACUGAGAUCCACGAUGGCUAAUCACAAUGAAAGCAACCUUAACAUCCCAAAUGACCUGAGCUCUGUCCAGGAGGGGCAGCAGUUCUCCUUUUCUAGUCCUACAAUACUAAAUAACCAAACACCUAUUCCUCUCAAUCCCUCGCCAAGCUUGGCAGGGAAUGCUCCCACCGCCACCUUAUCUAACCAGGACCUUCAAACCAUGGCCCUCCAACUACAGAACACCGCCCACUGGUUGGGGCAGAUAAUGCAACAAAGGGGCCUCAGCACCCCGAUAAAUACACUCCCAGUGGUAGAAGAACCCCAAACCAAUGAGCCCCAACCUGUCCUUGACCGCCUCCAAACCAGCAGCCGCGAUACCGGAGAAAAGGGGAGAAGAGCCGGAGGCCCGAGUCCACGGAAGGAGGGUGAGGGAGAUGAUAGAGAAUGAUAAGGCUGACAACUAUUCCGCCGGGACAACCAGGUGGGCGAGAAGUGAAGCAGAGGAGAAGGAAUACCACCUGGAGAAGAAACCCAGGCUGGAAGAUGAGAAUGUAGACCAAAAGCUGCAAAAGUUGAGAGAGCAGCUCUUGGCUGAACUGGGAAAGAAGGAUCAGAGCCAAACCUUCCUGCCCACUUCUUCACCUUUCUCGAAGUGGGUGCAACAGGAAAUUGUUUCUAAGAAGUUUAUGAUGCCAUCAAUGGCGGCUUAUGAAGGAGCUGGAAACCCCCGAGAGCAUGUCCUCAACUACAAGACUUUCAUGGAGCUGCAGACUCUAUCAGAUGCCUUGAUGUGCAAGGCAUUCCCAAUGACGCUCUCAGGGCCAGCACGGGCAUGGUUCAACAGCCUCGAGGCUGGGAGUAUCAGCAGUUUUGGGGAUCUGGCCACUCGCUUCAUUAGCCGGUUUAUUGCCGGAGUGCCAGCAGAUAGGAAGACGAGCUACCUGGAGACAAUCAGGCAGAGAGGAGACGAAUCGCUCAGGGAGUAUGUCGCUCGUUUCAAUACGGAGGCCUUGCAGAUUCCCGAGCUCGAUGAGGGAAAGGCGGUGGAAGCCAUGCAAAAGGGGACGACCUCUGCCGAGUUCUUCGGCUCAUUAAGCAGGAAGCCUCCGAUCUCACUGGUCGAGUUGAUGAAGAGGGCUGAGAAGUACAUAAGGAAGGAUGACGCCUUGGUGACAAGCCGAUUCGCCAAGGGAGUGGCAGGUAAGGAGAAAACCCUGGAGGAAAGGAGGCCGGAGAAGCAAGAGAAGAGACAUGGCAAAAGGCCUGAGCCUUACAGACAGCCCUGGGAGCGAAGGGACCAAAGACCUCUCCCUACUCGGGUCUCAGAACAGAAGUCACUCCCUCCGUGGGUUCCAGAGAAGUCGACCCCACUUAAUGCCUCUAGAGCCGAAGUGCUCAUUGCCGUCCAAGACAAGGAACUCUUUCAGUGGCCUAGACCCCUGAGAACGGAAGCCGACCAGCGAAAUCCUGACAAAUACUGUCAGUUCCAUCGUACUCAUGGCCACGACACCAAUAACUGUUUCCAGUUGAUCACGGAAAUCGAAAGGCUGAUAAAAAGGGGACACCUGAAGAACUUCGUGAAGAAACCAGAAGGACAGAGACCCCAGCCCAAUCCAGCAGUCCAAGCGCCGAGGAGAACGGGAGCUAACCCCGUAAACGACGGGUCUAGUGGGACCAUCAAUAUGAUUGUCGGAGGCACAGGAGGACGGAUGAGUCGAAGGGGGAAAAAGAGGAGUAGAGAGGGAGAAAGCAGCAGCGCUGAGGUCAUGCAGGUCGUCGUACACUCUCCGACGGUCAUCACUUUCUCCCCAGAGGAUGCCCAGGGUGUUCAAAUGCCCCAUGACGACGCCUUUGUCGUUGAAGCUGUCAUUCACAACUACCGCGUAAAGAAGAUCUUAGUGGAUGACGGGAGCAAGGUGAAUCUGCUACCUUAUCGAGUCUUCCAGCAAAUGGGAAUCCCCAAAGAGCAGCUGGUUCGAGAUCAGGCCCCGAUUAAAGUAAUUGGAGGAACGCCAGUAACGGUGGAAGGGAAGGUAAAGCUAGCCCUUACUUUGGGAGAAGCACCAAGGACUCGCACCCAUUAUACGGUGUUCCUGGUGGCUAAACUCCCCCUGAGCUACAACGCGAUCCUGGAAAGACCUGCAUUGUUUGACUUUGAGGCCAUCACCAGUAUCAGAUAUCUGGCAAUGAAGUUUCCAACAGAGGCAGGGGUGGGAAUAGUUCGGGGAAGCCAGGAGGAAGCAAGGGCAGUGUACCUAGCUACGGUAGCAGAGUCGAGCUCAACAGAAGAUAGGCUGAAUUCAGAAGUCCUGGAGGUCCGAGACAAGAAAACAGAAGCCAAGACAGAGCCGGUGGGGGAACUGGAGAUUUUUCCUUUAACAGAAGCAGAAACAGAUAAAGUCUUUAGUCUUAACGCCGGCCUCACCAAAGAACAGAAAAUCGAGGUCAUGGCCUUGAUCCGAAGUCACGCGUCAAGCUUCGCCUGAAAGCCUUUUGACAUGCCCGGAAUUGAUCUCGAGGUGAUAACCUAUAAGCUGAACGUCCUCCCCGAAGCCAGGCCGGUGAAGCAGAAGAAGAGGGUGGUAGGAAGGGAGAAGCAACAAGCCACCAGGGAGGAAGUGUAGAAGUUAGAAGAGGCAGGCUUUAUUAGGGAAGUCAUGUACCCGUAGUGGUUAGCUAAUCCUGUACUAGUCAAAAAAGCCAAUGGCAAAUAUAGGAUGUGCAUAGAUUUCACUGACCUGAAUCAGGCUUGCCCUAAAGAUUGUUAUCCCCUCCCUGAUAUUAAUAAAAUGGUUGAUUCUACGGCCGGUUUUGAUUAUAUGUCGUCUUUGGACGCAAUGUCUGGUUAUCAUCAAAUCCCAAUGGACAAGUCGGACGAAGAAAAGACCUCGUUCAUAACAGAAGAUGGGACUUAUUGCUAUAGAGCCAUGCCUUUCGGAUUGAAAAACGCCGGGGCAACUUACCAAAGACCGAUGAACAAAAUCUUCAAAGAUCAGAUCGGCAGAAACGUAGAAGUUUAUGUGGAUGAUAUGGUGGUCAAUAGCCUAACUUUCCAACAGCACGUGGCAGAUUUGAAGGAGGUAUUCGGAGUAUUAGAUUAGUACAGAAUGAAGCUGAAUCCAGCGAAAUGCGCCUUCUUCAUCAGAGGAGGAAAAUUCCUGGGAUACAUGGUGAGUGGGAAAGGCAUCGAGCCCAACCCGGAGAAGGUAGAGGCCAUAUUGAAUAUGCCAGAAUCGACCUGUGUGAGGGACGUCCAGAGACUGACCGGGAGAGUAGUGGCGCUUAAUCGAUUCAUGUCGAGGUCGGCAGAAAAGUGUUUACCAUUCUUCAAGAAGUUGAGGAAAGUGCCAAACUUCGAAUGGACAGAAGACUAUCGAGAAGCCUUCAAAGAACUCAAAAGCUAUCUCAGCUCGCCUCACGUGCUUAGUAGUCCCAUAGAAGGUGAGAAACUUCUGAUAUACCUGGCAGCCUCUGAACAAGCAGUCAGCGCCGUAUUGGUAAGGGUGGAAGAAGGAGAGCAGAAGCCUAUUUUCUAUGUCAACAAGGUGCUUAAAGAUGCCGAGGUCAGAUAUUUGAAUAUUGAGAAGAUAGCAUACGCUUUACUACUGGCAGUCCGAAAGUUCAGGGUUUAUCUGGAAAGCCACCAAGGAGUAGUAAUGACAGAUCAACCCUUGAAGAAGAUUCUGCAUAGACCGGAGACCUCAGGCCGGAUGCUAGCGUGGUCCAUUGAGAUUAGUCCUUACUGCCUAGAGUAUCGACCUCGAACAGCUAUAAAAUCUCAGGCCCUUGCUGACUUCAUAGCAGAGUGCACAUUCAGUGAGGAACAAGGAGAAUCAUCUUCAGAAGUAUCAGGGAAGGAAAGAAAGGAAGAACUCUUCCAAAAGUUCAGCUGGAAGUUAUAUGUAGACGGGGCUUCAGUCGCCGGAGGCAGCGGUGCUGGAAUAAUGCUUAAGGGGCCUGGAGAAUUUAAGGUUUGCUACGCCCUACGCUUAGAAUUCAAAGCCUCUAAUAAUAUGGCGGAGUAUGAAGCCCUAAUAAACGGGAUGCUGGUGGCAAUGGAGGUAGGGGCAACCGACCUCGAAGUAAAUAGCGACUCACAACUGGUGGUCAAUCAGAUAACUGGGGCAUAUCAGGCCAGAGAUCCAACCAUGCUGAGCUACCUGGCAAAAGUAAAAGCUAUAGAGGCUGAACUCAUAGAUCGGGGAGUUACCAUCAAAUUUCAAAGAAUACCUCGGGCAGAAAAUGAGGAAGCAGACCUGCUUAGUCGGUUGUCCAAAGAAGAAUUAGAACAACUCCCCGAUGAAGUGUACAUACAGCACGUCCAUACGCCUGCUUUUAGUAAAACAAACACGGUAUUGCAGGUGGAACAAAGCCCGACUUGGAUGACCCCAUACCUAGAAUACCUGGAGAAGGAAAAGCUCCCCGAGGAUAAAGACGAAGCCAAAAAGAUAGCAGCUCGUGCUGCCAACUACCAAGCAGUAAGGGGGACCUUAUACAGAAAAGGGAAAUCCAGCCCGUGGCUCCGGUGUGUGAACCCGGAAGAGGCUACAAAGGUGAUGGAAGAGAUACACAGGGGAAUGUGCGGAGCUCACGAAGGGGCAGGGACAUUAGCCAAUAAAAUAUUCAGGCAAGGGUACUACUGGCCCACUGUUAAAAGAGAAGCAGAAGAGUUUGUCCGAAGAUGCUACGUAUGCCAAAGAUUUGCUAACGCCAUCAAAGUCCCAGCCACUCCUCAAGCCAGCAUAUCCAGUCCAUGGCUGUAACAUCCUCUGGGCCCACAACAGUAGAUAUUAUCCGCUUUGGGUUCGAGGGCCUUGGCCCAGCCUUCCCCUCACAGUUUUGUUCUUGGGUCAAGGGAUUUGAUACCCUUUUUUCCCAAAACGCGUCUACUGUGGUCUCUUGGGGCUUGCCCUUAUAAGGCUUCCCCCCUCCUUACCUCUUUCCGAUGUGGGAUACUUUCAAUCCACCUCAUAGGGCUUCUACCCCCCAUAAGGCCUGAGCGUCCUCGCUCAGCACACCGUACUCAUGAGGCCCAGGCUCUGAUACCAAUUGUGUGCUGAGCGAGGACGCUCAGGCCUUAUGGGGGGUAGAAGCCCUAUGAGGUGGAUUGAAAGUAUCCCACAUCGGAAAGAGGUAAGGAGGGGGGAAGCCUUAUAAGGGCAAGCCCCAAGAGACCACAGGAGACGCGUUUUGGGAAGAAAGGGUAUCAAAUCCCUUGACCCAAGAACAAAACCGUGAGGGGAAGGCUGGGCCAAGGCCCUCGAACCCAAAGCGGACAAUAUCUUCUGUUGUGGGCCCAGAGGAUGUUAUAAUGGCCAUUCUCGCAAUGGGGAAUAGACAUCCUGGGACCCUUCCCCAAGACCACGGGGCAGAGGAAAUUCGUGGUGGUGGCUAUAGAAUACUUCUCAAAAUGGCCAGAGGCAGAAGCCAUAGCCACGAUCACAGCUCACAAGAUAAUAGACUUCGUAUGGGGAAACAUCAUCUGCAAGUUUGGCAUACCGAGAGUGCUCAUAUCUGACAAUGGCAGACAAUUUGAUUGCAGCACCUUCAGAGCAUUUACGGCGAACAUGGGCAUAUGGCACAAAUUCUCCUCCGUAGCCCAUCCUCAAAUUAAUGGUCAAACAGAGGUUACCAACAGAGCUAUCCUCCAAGGAUUAAAGAAACGGCUGGAUGGGACAAAGGCAAACUGGGCAAAAGAGCUCAACAGUAUCCUGUGGGCACUCCGAACUACCCCUAGAGCGUCCACUAAAGAAACGCCAUUUGCACUUGCUUACGGCACAGAGGCCGUAGUCCCAGUCGAGCUGCAAAUCCCCACUCAUCGAGUCCAAUUUGUUAAUGAGAACACUAACGACGACAAAUUAAGGAACAACUUGGACGCUUUCGAAGAAAUUAGGGAGGAAGCUCAAGUCCGAACUGCUGCUUAUCAACAACGGGCAGCCCGUUACUACAACCAAAGGGUCAGGGAAAGAAGUCUAAAGGUAGGGGACCUAGCCCUAAGAAACUUAGAAGCUACGGAAAAAAGAGCGGCAGUGGGAAAGUUGGCACCGACUUGGGAGGGCCCAUUCAGAUAGCAAAAGUAGUCAGGACAGGAGUAUACCGAAUUGAAGAUAUGCAGGGAAACCCUGAGCCCCAUGCCUAGAAUAUCCAGCACUUGAAGAGGUAUUUCCCUUGAAAUAUUUGUAAAGAAAAAUAUUGUACUCUGAAAAGCACAAAUGAAUAAAAUAACGCCAUUCUUUACACAAAUGAAGCUAAGUAUAGAGAAAAUAACAGAGAACCGAGCUCCCUCUAUGAAACGGCCCAUAAAUGCAGGAACAUAUAAGAGGAUAAACGAGGGCAAAAGACUGUGCUCACAACUCGAGUCAGUUCGCCAUGAACAAACAUUUAGCAAGAAUAACCCAAGAAGAAGGAAAAUGACAAAGGCCGAACUCCCCGUCCCAGUGGAGCACGCAGAUUAAGUUGCACCGCCUGACGAAGGAUCACCUCGAGGAGGACUAGACAUCCGAGCUCACAACCAGAAAGCAAAGUAAAAUCGCCUAAAAAGAAGCCGUGCAAGUACAAAUAAAGUACAGGGAUUUACUUCCUCACUAUUCAUGUAAUAAAUACUGAGGAAGUAAAGGGGCAAUCCAAGGAAAAUCUAAUGGCACGAAGUAGAUAAAACCUCAGCUCCAGUCCCUGUCAAGACAGAACUAAAGGCAAAAAGACGAGCCCUGCUCAUCAUCGCGACAGGUACAUGAUUUGACUCAUUAUUACUUAGCAAAGGCUAUGCGCCUAAGCUCACAUUAAUAGAGUAACAAGGAUAAAAACUUGUAAAUUGAACGCCUUGAUCACUGUUAAAAACAUAGCUCACGAGUGCAGCUAGCCCAGCUUGGAAAGAGCUUACGGAUAAGACUGCCUUGUGAAAUUAGAAAAGUUUAUGAGUCAGAGACUAAAUCCUUGGUUAAAAUUUUCAGCCUUGAUUAGCUAAGAGACAAGGGAUGAAAAACGAUGUAGUCAAGUCUUUACAAAGUUUAUUAAGCACAGCUUAAGUGUUUUUUGUCAAAUCUUUAAAAUUUAAACAAGUCAGACUGUUUAACAGAAUAAGUAGUCCGAUGAAGUUGAAACAACAAGCAAAAUAAGUAAAAAUAAAGUUUCAUUAAAAGAAAAGUACAUUUAUAGCAUGUUACAAGUGCCUACUCCACUGAAGAAAGAGCUGUCCUCAAAGGACUUACACAACCAGAGGCGCUAUUAUCUACCCUGUUCCCCUUUUAGCUCGGCGGACUCCUUCUACUCCCUUAGAGGUCCCCUACUCACCAACCGAACUCUAUCUCGUUAUUAUAGGAGAGCUGAACAAGUUGAUCCCCAUAAGCAUCUCUCACUUUUCCGUCAUAGGCAGGCUUCCUGUCGCCCAAGUGUGAUGCACGAUACACUCGAGCAAGCCGAGGAAAAUUGGCGAGGCAUUCUGAAGAGCAAUGGAACAAGUGAAUGUUGCAAAUCUACACACAUACUAUGUUGGUCUGCUAAAAUUACGUGUGUAAACAGCAUCUUGUAUCUCAUAAUAAGCCUCAAAAACCAUGUUAUUCCAUGAGUUUGAGUUAGGAGCAGACAUCAGGGGCACCACGAGAAUCCUCUCCUCCUCCCUGGAAGAAAGAAAGACAAGAGCCGAUCUUCCGGAAGCCCAAGACUUCUUUGGAGCACGAACCAAGACAAACACUUUGAGGAGAAUAGGACACUUGCCUCCGACCUUCUCCGCUACACCCCCAUCAUCCACAAAGCUGGGUUCCCUAUCCUCAUCAGUCGGACCGACCUCGGAGGGGACCCCAUAGACAUUCCUCACAAAGGCGAUCUCAGCCCGGCUAGCAAGGGUCCUCAUCUCAGCUAUGAAGGCCUCAGGCCUCUCUCCAGAAGCAUCGCCAAAAGACGGGGCAGGCUUCGCUGUCGUCAAACCGGAGUCCUCGCUCGGCCUUGAAGCCCGAGAGAACCUGAGAGCUUGAACAACCAGCACGGCUGAAAUGGACUUGUCAAUACUUGGCCGCCUUAAAGAUUCGGCACCGCGAAAGCUCGGCUCCGGAGCUCGGGCAGGAGCAGGGGGAGGAGGCCGUCCAGACGACCUGGAAAACAUGAUUUUGGCGACUUGUCGAGUAACCUCCCCUGCCAAUCACCCCAUUAGGAAGACAUCUAAAGCAACGUUCAAGCUCCCUAUGGGCGGCGUAAGAAUCUUAGGGGGCUUAAUCCGAUUCAUCUUUACCCCCAAAGGCUGCAAAAAUCACAAAAGCAAGGUUAGAACAGACCCCAUGAAAGACAGAGCAGAUUCGAAAGAAAACAUAAAGAGAGUGAAAUCAGGGGCCAGCGUCCGAGAAACAAUCCCGAAAUAUUGGAAAACCCCGUUGAAAGAAGGAGAUAAGGGAAGGAUAAACCAUACCUCUUCCACAUGACAAAGAAAACUAAACUUGCAUCUUUCUGGAGAUCGAUUGAACCAGAGGGAGAAGAAUCGGAAAGAGGGAUCCUUUUGUCCCGAUAAGGAGCCUGAGGCUGAGAAGGAAGUGUUAUUAAUAUAUAGCCGGAGGCUGAGAUUUUAAUGUGAGAUAGGGCGACGUUAUACUCUAGGCUAGCGGCAUCAGAAUCCUUAAAGGCUAUUCACAAGAAAGGAAAGAAAGCGUACAUGGAAGAUAAAGGCAGGAAAGUGAAGACAGCAGUAUGCACGAAGAGCAGAGGAAAGCUAGAAAUAGAAAAAAGACAGAGAGGAUUUAAAGCUACAAGUGACAAAAAGAUGAAAGGGCGUUAUGGAGCAAGCUGAAUUCAAACAGGCGCGGUCAUAAUGAUUCUUGAUGUUUACCCCCUCAACAGUUGGGGCAAUAACUGCCGAGAAGGUAAAGGGGCAAUUGAUGACCGCUGGAUUUCUCCACCUCAGUCAGGGACCAAGCCCUCAAUCACGGCCCAUCACUCGGAGGCCCAUGCGAUCCCAAUACAAAUAGGUCCAGCCCGUUCGAACCUUGAUACAGAGUCCAUAUGGAUUUCUCAACCAGGUCGACCCAGUUUCCAUUGCCUCUCAGGCCGGCCCAGCCCUCACUGCUUCUCAGGCUGAUCCUCCUUGGGCUCAGUAUUAUUCCUAUCUCCCGGCCCAGUCCGGAAUCGGGAAGAAGGCCCCACCUUCAGCCUUGUGGACCCAUCCACACACGCACGAAGGGAAUUAGGGGCCGUUACGCAUGAGACAGGUACCGGAUAUCCUCGUACAAUCGUAUCAAUAUGGCAGAGACAGGUGGUCCAAUGAUAGCCAGGCCGUUGCACGUCACUAGCAUAGGAGGAAAAGGGAUAAAAGGAGAAUGAUCCUCCCCUAAGCUCUAAGUUUUUCCAUUAUUCCAAAAACCUCUGUAAAACCCUAUUUCUCUAGAUCUCAGAUCAUCAAACAUGAAUACGAAAUAGAAGAAAGUUAUUAAGCACAAAAAUCUCAGAUUCAACGGCUUCAAUUGUGUGAUAGUAACACAAGUUAUUUCCAUGGCAAAAUCAUCCAGAGAAGAAAAGGUAAUACAAUAGUAGGUUUCUGAGAUAGCUGUGGGAAUUAGAAAACAUCUCUAGGUAAUAUUCAGAAUAUUACAUAUGGCUAGUUUCAAUACAUUUAUUCAUCGACCAGGCCUUGCAAUUUUUUGGUCAUUACUCAAUGGUUCCAUCCGAGAAUUACAGAUGAGAUGAAUUUGUAUCUUAUCAAGCCAAUUAUACAAGAUGAGGUUAAAAUAGUUGUUUUCUUUAUUGAUCCUUCAACUAGUUUAUUCUUCUAAAAAUAUUGGUCCAUCGUUGCUAAUGACAUUUAUAAUGCAGUAGAAAAUUUCUUUGCAAGUGAAAAAUGAUUGAAGAAAUAAAUCAUACUCUCAUUGCCUAAGUAAAACAGGUCCGGUUACGACCUAUAAAAUUAUAAAAUAAUUUACGACUUAUAGAAUUAGACUUUUUAUGAAUAAAAUUAUCAAAUAUGAAAAAGUAUUUUUACAAAAGGACAACUUAAAUCCGAUAAUAUUUUAAUUAACUAUAACGUUAAGCAUUCUUUCCAGAAUAGUAGGGGAAAAGGAAUUAUGACAUGACUCUUAAACUCAUGUUAGUAAGGCAUAUAACUAUGUGGAAUGGGCAUAUAUGCAUUACAUGCCAUCUUGCUUUGACUUUCAUGAGUAAUGAAUCACUUAGAUAAUGGAAUGGAUUACGAGUUACCUAUUCUGUGCAUAUUAAUGGCCAUAGGACUAGAUUCAUAACUCCUUCUAGGGGUCUUAAAUGAGGAGAUCUCUUAUUA